CGGCGGACGGGUGAGUAACACGUGGAUAACCUACCUAUAAGACUGGGAUAACUUCGGGAAACCGGAGCUAAUACCGGAUAAUAUAUUAAACCGCAUGGUUCAAUAGUGAAAGACGGUUUUGCUGUCACUUAUAGAUGGAUACGCGCCGCAUUAGCUAGUUGGUAAGGUAACGGCUUACCAAGGCAACGAUGCGUAGCCGACCUGAGAGGGUGAUCGGCCACACUGGAACUGAGACACGGUCCAGACUCUACGGGAGGCAGCAGCC
This 265-nucleotide ribosomal RNA is filed under the name uncultured Staphylococcus sp. RNAcentral describes it as "partial 16S ribosomal RNA". It matches the Rfam family "Bacterial small subunit ribosomal RNA", at positions 96 to 355 of the family's 1533-position model. The record is from RNAcentral. Lineage: Bacteria; Bacillati; Bacillota; Bacilli; Caryophanales; Staphylococcaceae.